This 478-nucleotide ribosomal RNA is filed under the name uncultured bacterium. Its description in RNAcentral is "partial 16S ribosomal RNA". It matches the Rfam family "Bacterial small subunit ribosomal RNA", at positions 28 to 507 of the family's 1533-position model. The record is from RNAcentral.
GAUGAACGCUGGCGGCGUGCUUAACACAUGCAAGUCGAACGGGAAACCUUUUAAUGAAGCUUCGGCAGAUUUAACUGGUUUCUAGUGGCGGACGGGUGAGUAACGCGUGGGUAACCUGCCUUAUACAGGGGGAUAACAGUCAGAAAUGACUGCUAAUACCGCAUAAGCGCACAGGACCGCAUGGUCCGGUGUGAAAAACUCCGGUGGUAUAAGAUGGACCCGCGUUGGAUUAGCUUGUUGGUGGGGUAACGGCUCACCAAGGCGACGAUCCAUAGCCGGCCUGAGAGGGUGAACGGCCACAUUGGGACUGAGACACGGCCCAGACUCCUACGGGAGGCAGCAGUGGGGAAUAUUGCACAAUGGGGGAAACCCUGAUGCAGCGACGCCGCGUGAAGGAAGAAGUAUCUCGGUAUGUAAACUUCUAUCAGCAGGGAAGAUAGUGACGGUACCUGACUAAGAAGCCCCGGCUAACUACGUG